GGAAGGAAUGCGGCAGGCGGAAAAACUUGCGGAGAAAGAGCGCGGAGCGACCGAGGGGCGCUGGGUGCUUGUUCCUAAAGGGCGAGGCACCGGGGAGGCUGGGCGAUACUUGGGGUGGUGUUUUAUCCAGCGUGCUGUGGUUCUCCAGAACAGUCUCGUUCCAUUCAAAUGAAUACCUAUAUUUUAUCCAGCAUCUGUAUUCAAGGGAUACAUGAAAGAAUGCAGAUCUCUUAGGAUAUUUCAUCUGAAUCAGAACUGGGAUGCAGAUUCUACCUCUUGAUUCUUUACAGCUUUGAAACAGAAGUUAUUAAAACAUGCAAGAUGCCCUUGGGAGCCUUGGUCAGGAGGGCACAGCCUAGGUCAUGGGCAGGGAGCAGGAUACACACUGGAGCAAGCAGCACAGGCCUGUCAUCUCAGCUACUGAGGAUCAAGCGCGAGGAUCAAGCGUGAGGAUCACAGGUUCAGACCUGCCACAGUGACACAGUGAGCAACUUAGACUGUCUUAAAAUUUUAACAAAACAAACCGAUAUAAGUGGUGACAGGAAUGGGCUCAGUUGCGGAGUUCUAGUGCCUCGCAGCUGAGAGGCCUUGGACUCAAUCCCCAAUGUAUCAAAAUCAAUGAAAAUUAAGGUGAUACAGUA
This 641-nucleotide long non-coding RNA is filed under the name Mus pahari (shrew mouse). RNAcentral's name for it is "lncRNA (MGP_PahariEiJ_G0002586.1)". Lineage: Eukaryota; Metazoa; Chordata; Mammalia; Rodentia; Muridae. The record is from RNAcentral.